This is a long non-coding RNA of Ictalurus punctatus (channel catfish), 974 nucleotides long. The record is from Ensembl. Lineage: Eukaryota; Metazoa; Chordata; Actinopteri; Siluriformes; Ictaluridae.
CAAACAUUAAAGUCCAUAAUGUUUGACGUUAUGUGUAAUAAAGUGGAAUGACACAGGAAAAGAAGUAUGGAACACACUAAGAAAAAGCAGUUCUCCAAGGCAGCGCAAGGCAAGGAACCAGCUGAAAUCCUGAGCGCCAUUGGGGCCAUUAUCUGCAAGUGGAAGCAACAUCACUCCGUCAUCAACCGGCCACGCACAGGAGCUCCUCGCAAGAUUUCUGACCAGGGAGUCAGAAGAAUAAUCAGAACAGUAGCCCAAGAGCCAAGGAGCACUCGGAAAGAGCUCCAGAAACACCUGGAGGCAGCAGUUGCUGAUGGGCACAUCGUAAUUAUUGACCCUUCUUCAGCAGCACACCCUGCCACAGUCGAAUUGUCUUAGACAUGGACACCAGCUGGCUACUAUACAGAAUUCUCCAGAGACAGCGGCCCACACAGUGGAACCAAAGAAGACGUGGCUCAAGCAAGCUGAAAAACGACCGGAAGGAUAAAAGACUAAACGUGGAAAAGAAAGAAAAAAAAAAAGCCAGCGAUGUCGUCCCUGAUCUCCAAGCAUGGAGUCGUGUUGCCUGAGAUCCAGAGGCACCCAGAGCAACGUACCGUCUCUGAGAUCCCCCUCAUUCAGACCCUAGCUAGUGACCGAAAGACACUAGACAUGCAGGUGCUGAAGGAAAAUAAACAGCACUUGGAAAGAGCUGAAAGCAAGAAAGUUGAAAAAUAAGAGAAAGGUCAAAAGAAAGUUGAAAAGGAAGGGUGUCAGGGUGUUGCAAGGAGGUUGCUAAGGUGUUCCAGGUGGUUGCUGAGGUCCUUCUAUGAGAGGCGUUGCUAUGGGAUUCCAGGCGGAUGUAAAGAUUGUUGCAAGAAGGUGACUAAAGUGAUCCAAGUGGUUGCUAGGCAGUUGUGUGAAUGUGCAAGACAGAAGGAAAGAAAUAAAGAAAGAAAAGGUAAAGUGUAAGAGUCAAAUGAAUGAAUAAAUAC